UACGUAGGGGGCAAGCGUUGUCCGGAAUCAUUGGGCGUAAAGAGCGUGUAGGCGGUCCGGUAAGUCGGUUGUGAAAGUCCAGGGCUCAACCCUGGGAUGCCGACCGAUACUGUCGGACUAGAGUUCGGAAGAGGCGAGUGGAAUUCCCGGUGUAGCGGUGAAAUGCGCAGAUAUCGGGAGGAACACCAAUGGCGAAGGCAGCUCGCUGGGACGUUACUGACGCUGAGACGCGAAAGCGUGGGGAGCGAACAGG
This 253-nucleotide ribosomal RNA is filed under the name uncultured bacterium. RNAcentral describes it as "partial 16S ribosomal RNA". It matches the Rfam family "Bacterial small subunit ribosomal RNA", at positions 524 to 776 of the family's 1533-position model. The record is from RNAcentral.